UGGUGUUGUGAGAGCUCAUCCCACCUUUGUGGUGUGGUGAGUUGGAGAAUAGAGUGAGCCUUUGUGGCGUCUCUACCUUUGUGGUAGAGCACUCCUCCAAACAGAGACGUGCACCGAUCCCAAUAGGUGGAACUCCGGUGAAAUCUUCGUUUUCCCGUGUGGUAUCAUUGUAACAUCCCAAAUUUUUUCAAAUUCGGAUGUUUGCACCUUUACAUUUCUUAUGCAUAUCACCUUGAUCAUAUCUUAAAAUAUUGAUGUUCGUUAUGAUGCAUUAUUGAAAGUGUUUGAAAUGGUGUUUUGGAAUGUGAUAGGUAGAUAGAAAUUGAAUUGAGAAUUUUCUAGAGUCUAAAAACGCAUUUUAGGAUUUUAUUUGGGUUUAUUUAAAGCUUAGAAACAUUAAAAGUAUUUUUAAAAAUUUACUUUUGAGUGGGAAUAAUUUUCCUGGACUCUAAAUGAAAUAUAUUAUUUUACAGAAUUUUUGGGAAUUUUUCUGAAGCCAUUUGAUAUUUUAAAUGAUUUAAAUGGAAUUUCGGGUGAAUUAUAGAUCCUGAAAAGCAAUUUUUAUAUUUUUUCUUUUAUUCUUUUUCUUUUUCUCUGAAAAUACGCUUUCUCCGCAGGGAAGCGUAUUCUCAGAAAAUACGCUUUCUCCACAGGGAAACGUAUUCUCGGGAAAUACGCUUUCAAUCUCUUGUCUCUCUCACUGACAGGUGGGGCCCACCUGUCAUCUUCUCCCUCACCUCCGCCGUCUCCCGCCGCCGCCCGCGCUUGCCUGCCCGCUUGCCCGCGCACCUGCUCGCCGCCCCCGCGCGCCUGCCCGCGCAGCCGCCG
This 828-nucleotide long non-coding RNA is filed under the name Brachypodium distachyon (stiff brome). RNAcentral's name for it is "long non-coding RNA (BDIS_LNC005209)". The record is from RNAcentral. Lineage: Eukaryota; Viridiplantae; Streptophyta; Magnoliopsida; Poales; Poaceae.